AUGAUUUUAUACUACUGUUUUAAAAAUGUAUUUGGUUAUAUAUUUCCCAAUUUCAUUUUCCUCUAUUUCAGGAUCACACUCAGGAGUUUUACAUGCUGUAAUGAAGCCAGAAUGUCAUCGUUUUCCAUCUCUGACCUAGGAUGUUAUGCUCAAUUCCAGACAAACAUCCCUCACUCCAACUUUGAUACCCUUACAAGAUGGCUGCUUCUGUUUACUUUCACAAGUGAGUAAUCUCUGUCCUAAAACCUUCCACAUUUAGGCAUGUAAUUUUCUUGGGUCUUGUACAUAUGCUGAAAUCAACAAAGUCAUGUAACUUACAGAGCAUCCUGAAUGAGAGAGAGAUUAAAAAUCACUGAAAUUCUUGUUUAGGUUACAAUUAUGCUCUUUUGCUAAUUACUCUACAACUGUAGACCCGUAAGGCACUAGAGUGUGGGGAAAGAACUCUCAAUAUUGGAUUUAAGAGGCUUGCAUGCAACAUUUUUAGCCGCCUGACUCUGGGCAAAUUUCUCCCCCUGACAAUAAUGUCUUUAUGUCCUUGAAGAGUUGCAAACCAGGAUCUACAUGGAUAAAGGCAAUUCUCUAGUCAGGAAUUUCUUAAACUGAUGGAAGGCAUCUCAUAUUCUGUACCCUCUCCCUCCACCCUCAAAAUACACACAAACACACAGUCAAAAUUGUCAUUCAUGUGAGAUAUUUCUCUGAUUUAAGAGUAUUUAGAGUAGAUUCAAGCUCAUCAAACAUAGAUCUGAUGCUUCUCUGCCACAUAUUACUUAGAGGACUGAGAAAAUUCCCACGCCUUUCUGGACCCUAUUUCAUAGAAUCACAAAUUAGAUCUGGAGUCCAUUCCUUACAUUUUACAGAUUUAGAAACUGAGACCCAGAGAAAAUAGUUGACUUUCCCAAGGUCUCCCUUCUGUUAUCCAAAGGUAGGUUCCUGUUGCUUCAUGCACAGAACUCACAGGUUUUGUUUUUUCCUUUGAAAUAAAGGCAUUGAACCAACAUGCA
This 1001-nucleotide long non-coding RNA is filed under the name Monodelphis domestica (gray short-tailed opossum). RNAcentral's name for it is "lncRNA (ENSMODG00000042382.1)". Lineage: Eukaryota; Metazoa; Chordata; Mammalia; Didelphimorphia; Didelphidae. The record is from RNAcentral.